Panicum virgatum (switchgrass) is the source of this 589-nucleotide RNA transcript. RefSeq lists it as uncharacterized. The record is from RefSeq and is a predicted model, not a curated record. The transcript is spliced from 3 exons. NCBI's taxonomy places the organism in Eukaryota, Viridiplantae, Streptophyta, Magnoliopsida, Poales, Poaceae.
ACAUAAGUCCCUCGUGUCGCCCUCCGAGCCUGCACGCAGCGGAGCCGCCGCCUGCCUUGCCCUCGGCCGCUGCCUCCUUGCUCGACCGCCGCAUAGCCCCAUGCAAAGCGUCGCCCGCGCGGCCGCCGCGGCGAGUUCCCCCCACACCGUGGCCGCCGGAUUCCUCCUCCGCCGCCCAACAGAGAAGGGAGAAGGGGGAACGCAGGGGGAAAACGCGCCAAGGUUCAUGUGCGCACUUCUGCUGGAUUUGUCGAUUCCAUUUCGACCAGAUCGAGGCGGCGACGGCCGACGAGGGCAAUCUCGACCUCAGCAGCAGCGUGUCAACAUGCUUGCCUCCAAGAUCUGCCUCUGAUGCGUACAACUCUGCCACCACCGUUCAUGAUAUUCUCCUCGGGCUGGAAGGACAAGGGACUAAUGCGAUGCAAAUAUAUCACAUCAUGUACUUAUGGCGUUUAGCUGAUUGUAGCCUUUUUGUUAUGUAUAAAUGCUGAUUGUAGCCUUUUUGUUAUGUAUAAAUGUUGUGUACAUGUAAGCUAUUGUGUACUGUGUACUGCUAUUAUUAUUAAUCUAUUUCUCUAUUUCUAUUAAA